GGGUUGUGAGGUUAAGCGACUAAGCGUACACGGUGGAUGCCCUGGCAGUCAGAGGCGAUGAAGGGCGUGCUAAUCUGCGAUAAGCGCCGGUAAGGUGAUAUGAACCGUUAUAACCGGCGAUACCCGAAUGGGGAAACCCAGUGUGAUUCGUCACACUAUCAUUAACUGAAUCCAUAGGUUAAUGAGGCGAACCGGGGGAACUGAAACAUCUAAGUACCCCGAGGAAAAGAAAUCAACCGAGAUUCCCCCAGUAGCGGCGAGCGAACGGGGAGGAGCCCAGAGCCUGAAUCAGCAUGUGUGUUAGUGGAAGCGUCUGGAAAGGCGCGCGAUACAGGGUGACAGCCCCGUACACAAAAGCGCAUGUGCUGUGAGCUCGAUGAGUAGGGCGGGACACGUGGUAUCCUGUCUGAAUAUGGGGGGACCAUCCUCCAAGGCUAAAUACUCCUGACUGACCGAUAGUGAACCAGUACCGUGAGGGAAAGGCGAAAAGAACCCCGGCGAGGGGAGUGAAAAAGAACCUGAAACCGUGUACGUACAAGCAGUGGGAGCACCCUUUGGGUGUGACUGCGUACCUUUUGUAUAAUGGGUCAGCGACUUAUAUUCUGUAGCAAGGUUAACCGAAUAGGGGAGCCGGAGGGAAACCGAGUCUUAAUUGGGCGUUAAGUUGCAGGGUAUAGACCCGAAACCCGGUGAUCUAGCCAUGGGCAGGUUGAAGGUUGGGUAACACUAACUGGAGGACCGAACCGACUAAUGUUGAAAAAUUAGCGGAUGACCUGUGGCUGGGGGUGAAAGGCCAAUCAAACCGGGAGAUAGCUGGUUCUCCCCGAAAGCUAUUUAGGUAGCGCCUCGUGAAUUCAUCUCCGGGGGUAGAGCACUGUUUCGGCUAGGGGGCCAUCCCGGCUUACCAACCCGAUGCAAACUGCGAAUACCGGAGAAUGUUAUCACGGGAGACACACGGCGGGUGCUAACGUCCGUCGUGAAGAGGGAAACAACCCAGACCGCCAGCUAAGGUCCCAAAGUCAUGGUUAAGUGGGAAACGAUGUGGGAAGGCCCAGACAGCCAGGAUGUUGGCUUAGAAGCAGCCAUCAUUUAAAGAAAGCGUAAUAGCUCACUGGUCGAGUCGGCCUGCGCGGAAGAUGUAACGGGGCUAAACCAUGCACCGAAGCUGCGGCAGCGACACUGUGUGUUGUUGGGUAGGGGAGCGUUCUGUAAGCCUGCGAAGGUGGCCUGUGAGGGUUGCUGGAGGUAUCAGAAGUGCGAAUGCUGACAUAAGUAACGAUAAAGCGGGUGAAAAGCCCGCUCGCCGGAAGACCAAGGGUUCCUGUCCAACGUUAAUCGGGGCAGGGUGAGUCGACCCCUAAGGCGAGGCCGAAAGGCGUAGUCGAUGGGAAACGGGUUAAUAUUCCCGUACUUGGUGUUACUGCGAAGGGGGGACGGAGAAGGCUAUGUUGGCCGGGCGACGGUUGUCCCGGUUUAAGCGUGUAGGUGUGUGUUCCAGGUAAAUCCGGUUCACUUUAACACUGAGGCGUGACGACGAGGCACUACGGUGCUGAAGCAACAAAUGCCCUGCUUCCAGGAAAAGCCUCUAAGCAUCAGGUAACAUCAAAUCGUACCCCAAACCGACACAGGUGGUCAGGUAGAGAAUACCAAGGCGCUUGAGAGAACUCGGGUGAAGGAACUAGGCAAAAUGGUGCCGUAACUUCGGGAGAAGGCACGCUGACACGUAGGUGAAGUGAUUUACUCAUGGAGCUGAAGUCAGUCGAAGAUACCAGCUGGCUGCAACUGUUUAUUAAAAACACAGCACUGUGCAAACACGAAAGUGGACGUAUACGGUGUGACGCCUGCCCGGUGCCGGAAGGUUAAUUGAUGGGGUCAGCGCAAGCGAAGCUCCUGAUCGAAGCCCCGGUAAACGGCGGCCGUAACUAUAACGGUCCUAAGGUAGCGAAAUUCCUUGUCGGGUAAGUUCCGACCUGCACGAAUGGCGUAAUGAUGGCCAGGCUGUCUCCACCCGAGACUCAGUGAAAUUGAACUCGCUGUGAAGAUGCAGUGUACCCGCGGCAAGACGGAAAGACCCCGUGAACCUUUACUAUAGCUUGACACUGAACAUUGAGCCUUGAUGUGUAGGAUAGGUGGGAGGCUUUGAAGUGUGGACGCCAGUCUGCAUGGAGCCGACCUUGAAAUACCACCCUUUAAUGUUUGAUGUUCUAACGUGGACCCGUUACCCGGGUUGCGGACAGUGUCUGGUGGGUAGUUUGACUGGGGCGGUCUCCUCCUAAAGAGUAACGGAGGAGCACGAAGGUUGGCUAAUCCUGGUCGGACAUCAGGAGGUUAGUGCAAUGGCAUAAGCCAGCUUGACUGCGAGCGUGACGGCGCGAGCAGGUGCGAAAGCAGGUCAUAGUGAUCCGGUGGUUCUGAAUGGAAGGGCCAUCGCUCAACGGAUAAAAGGUACUCCGGGGAUAACAGGCUGAUACCGCCCAAGAGUUCAUAUCGACGGCGGUGUUUGGCACCUCGAUGUCGGCUCAUCACAUCUGGGGCUGAAGUAGGUCCCAAGGGUAUGGCUGUUCGCCAUUUAAAGUGGUACGCGAGCUGGGUUUAGAACGUCGUGAGACAGUUCGGUCCCUAUCUGCCGUGGGCGCUGGAGAACUGAGGGGGGCUGCUCCUAGUACGAGAGGACCGGAGUGGACGCAUCACUGGUGUUCGGGUUGUCAUGCCAAUGGCACUGCCCGGUAGCUAAAUGCGGAAGAGAUAAGUGCUGAAAGCAUCUAAGCACGAAACUUGCCCCGAGAUGAGUUCUCCCUGAGACUUAAAGUCUCCUGAAGGAACGUUGAAGACGACGACGUUGAUAGGCCGGGUGUGUAAGCGCAGCGAUGCGUUGAGCUAACCGGUACUAAUGAACCGUGAGGCUUAACCUUACAACGCCGAAG
This 2924-nucleotide ribosomal RNA is filed under the name Salmonella enterica subsp. enterica serovar Enteritidis str. EC20090531. RNAcentral's name for it is "bacterial LSU rRNA". It matches the Rfam family "Bacterial large subunit ribosomal RNA". Lineage: Bacteria; Pseudomonadati; Pseudomonadota; Gammaproteobacteria; Enterobacterales; Enterobacteriaceae. The record is from RNAcentral. RNAcentral also lists the same sequence under 10 other names.